This 633-nucleotide ribosomal RNA is filed under the name uncultured Bacillota bacterium. RNAcentral describes it as "bacterial SSU rRNA". It matches the Rfam family "Bacterial small subunit ribosomal RNA", at positions 681 to 1315 of the family's 1533-position model. Lineage: Bacteria; Bacillati; Bacillota. The record is from RNAcentral.
GUGAAAUGCGUAGAGAUGGGGAGGAACACCAGUGGCGAAGGCGGCCUGCUGGGCUUUAACUGACGCUGAGGCACGAAAGCGUGGGUAGCAAACAGGAUUAGAUACCCUGGUAGUCCACGCUGUAAACGAUGAUUACUAGGUGUGGGGGGUCUGACCCCUUCCGUGCCGGAGUUAACACAAUAAGUAAUCCACCUGGGGAGUACGGCCGCAAGGUUGAAACUCAAAGGAAUUGACGGGGGCCCGCACAAGCAGUGGAGUAUGUGGUUUAAUUCGAAGCAACGCGAAGAACCUUACCAGGUCUUGACAUCCAACUAACGAGAUAGAGAUAUGUUAGGUGCCCUUCGGGGAAAGUUGAGACAGGUGGUGCAUGGUUGUCGUCAGCUCGUGUCGUGAGAUGUUGGGUUAAGUCCCGCAACGAGCGCAACCCUUGCUAUUAGUUGAUACGCAAGAGCACUCUAAUAGGACUGCCGUUGACAAAACGGAGGAAGGUGGGGACGACGUCAAAUCAUCAUGCCCCUUAUGACAUGGGCUACACACGUACUACAAUGGACGUCAACAGAUGGGAAGCAAAACAGUCGAUGUGGAGCAAACCCCUAAAAACGUUCUCAGUUCAGAUUGCAGGCUGCAACCCGC